RNAcentral lists this transfer RNA (80 nucleotides) under Schizophyllum amplum. RNAcentral describes it as "Auriculariopsis ampla tRNA". It matches the Rfam family "tRNA". Rfam says of the family: Transfer RNA (tRNA) molecules are approximately 80 nucleotides in length. Their secondary structure includes four short double-helical elements and three loops (D, anti-codon, and T loops). Lineage: Eukaryota; Fungi; Basidiomycota; Agaricomycetes; Agaricales; Schizophyllaceae. The record is from Rfam by way of RNAcentral.
GCCCUGCUAGCUCAGUGGUAGAGCGUCGCACUCGUACAUGUUCGAUGCGAAGGUCAGUCGUUCAAGUCGGCUGUGGGGCA